This is a non-coding RNA of Vicugna pacos (alpaca), 149 nucleotides long. The record is from RefSeq and is a predicted model, not a curated record. Lineage: Eukaryota; Metazoa; Chordata; Mammalia; Artiodactyla; Camelidae.
CUUACAGGAUGAACCAAAUUUGCAAGAACAUCAUGACCUGACCUAGAUGGACAACUGCAAGAACGAAGGAUUCUGACCCCAAGAAGUUUCCAACCACCAGCCACACCCCCUACCUUUUUAGUAUAAAAGGAGCCUGAAUUCUGACUUGG